Non-coding RNA from Schistosoma mattheei, 45 nucleotides. NCBI's taxonomy places the organism in Eukaryota, Metazoa, Platyhelminthes, Trematoda, Strigeidida, Schistosomatidae. The record is from Rfam.
AUCCAACUGAUGAGUCCCAAAUAGGACGAAACGCGUGUCUUUCAU